RNAcentral lists this unclassified non-coding RNA (155 nucleotides) under uncultured fungus. RNAcentral describes it as "sequence contains ITS1, 5.8S rRNA gene". The record is from RNAcentral. Lineage: Eukaryota; Fungi.
CCGAGUAUUGUUCUUUUUGGACAAACUCCCACCCUUUGUCAAACUUACUUGUUGCUUCGGCGGACCACUGAAAAGUUGUCGACUCAAUAGUGGACAAGUGUCCGCCGAAGAUUUUACUCUGGUUUUUAAAGUCAGAUUUUUUAUUAAACAAAUAA